This 17616-nucleotide long non-coding RNA is filed under the name Amborella trichopoda. RNAcentral describes it as "long non-coding RNA (ATRI_LNC000075)". Lineage: Eukaryota; Viridiplantae; Streptophyta; Magnoliopsida; Amborellales; Amborellaceae. The record is from RNAcentral.
CUAUCCUCCCCCUAUCGCCGUGUUCAACCCAUCCUUCCCCUACGCCGUGGGCAACCCAUCCUUCCCCUAUCGCAGAGUGUGCAAAGCCCUCACCCAGCGCCGUGUGUGCAAGCCACCACCCGCGUGAACUCCACACCACAACUGCAGCCGAACUCCCUGCUACACCAUUUCCUUCUCGCUCAGCUGCGCCUCAGCCCCUUCUGCCACUGCAUUCACUCUAUGCCCUCAACCAUCUUUCACCACCAUAACCACCCACCUGCUAUUCACGUAGCCUUUCCAUCUGCUCUUCUCCCUGCUAUCUCCCACUUUCUCUCCCUAGAAAAAACUAACAACUUUUUCUUCCUCUGUUCUUUGUUGCUCUCUUAUCCUCUCUUCCCAAUCACAGGCUAUCCACAAACGUCCCAGCCUGCUGUAGCACCACCUCUCUCUUUCAACACCUCCGCCUCUCUCUCUCUCAACUGCAGCAGUUAGUUGCAGCCACCAUCUUUCACCUCUCAACAGCAGCUGCCACACUACCUUCUCCCUGUCCUCUGCCCAGCAGCCGACCUCCCUCUCUUCCCUCGCUGCCCCUUCUCUUCCACCUCAUACUCUGCCUCUCAAAUCGCAGCCACGACCUCCAACCUAAUGCAACCACUACAGCAGCCAUCACCUUGUCCUCUUCUUUCGUCAAUCACCACUGCAGCCACUUCCGCCAUUUCUACCAUCACCUGCAAACCACCUCCGCCUAUCUUCUCCCGCACCAUCCCUCUUCUUUGCAACCUAGCUCAGCCACCUUGCAGCUUCAACCGUCAACCACUCGUGCACUUUCUUCCUCUUCCUCCAAUGUCGCCCUGCUCUUAGCAAUCUUCCCCUCUCUGCCCUGUCACCGCCCCUUUCUCUCUGUUGCACCACCAUUUCCACCACCUCAUAGCGACCUCCGCCAUCUCGUUGAUGCCCCUUUCACUACCUGCUGCCCUCUCCACGACCUGGUUCAUCCACCUCUCCUGCCAUUUCUGUUCUCUCUCCACCACUCUGCUGCUGCCUUUCAAUCCAUCUUCACACUUUGCUGCCGGAAACUAGCCCUCUGUCACCAUUUCCAUCCCCUCUCGCUCUACUCUUCCGUCCUCCUCUCUGCAACUUCCCACUCUCCGCUCUGCUCUCUGCAACUGCCUACACUCUCUUUCUAAAAACCCACAAGAUGGAAACCCACAAACGAAACCCAUUUUCCAUUUUUCAUUUUUUUUUUCUUUUCGUUUAGCUUUUUCGGUAGUUUCGUUUCACUUGCUUUCUUCACUCCAUUUCGUUCAACUCAUCAAACCAACACAAGUUCUCUCUCUCUAAACUAAUCUACCCUUUUAUUUUAUCAAAACUUUAUACUCUUUUACUCAUAUAAUGCCCAAUAGCCCAGUAAUAAAAACCUCCUUCUCCCUUGAUCAAUUAAAACCUUUUUUUUUAUUAUAAUUUUAUUCUAAUUAACCUCAUCCAAUUAUAUUAUCUUAGCCUAUCUUCACCUGAUUUCUUUUACUCCAUUCAUUUCAUCCUAUUCUUCCCAAUCUUAUUUUAUUUUAUUUACUUUAUUGAUUAUCUUAUCUUAUCUUUUUCCAUUUUAAUUAUUUAUUUUACUUUAUUUCAUUUACCUCUUUUAUUUUAUUUACCCCAGUUUAUUUUAUUUUAUUUUCCUUUACUACAUUCCUUUACUUAUUUUAUUUUUCCAUUUUCCAAUUUUAUUUUAUUUUUAAUUCAUUUAUCUCAUUGUCAUUUCAACUCAUAUUUCAUCAUCAUUUUUUCAUCGUCGCUUUUAUUUCACUUUCGUCUCUCUUGGAAGACUUAGUCAGAGUUGAGCUAGUUUCACUUCCUCUCUUUCUCUCCAUCGCUUGUUUGACCAGAGGGCAGGCUGAGCCUUGUACUGUCAUGUUGGUUAUGUCAUCUAGCCGUAAUGCCGUUGUGUCGGUCUGAGUUACCGUGCCCGUCUUACUGCCAUAACAGGCUAGCCAUUGUGUCAGGCUUGUCGAUGUUGGUUCUGUCGUCUAAUAGUAAUGUCGUUAUGCCGGUUUAAGUUACCGUGCCCGUCUUGCUACCCUGUCGGGUCAAUCACUUUCUGAUCUAGCAACUGUAUCAGUUUAGCCGUUUGAUCAAUUCACCCUGUAACAAGGUGGGGACCUAUGGCCCACUUGUCUGUACUUUUAAUUGUGUGUGUGUUUGCAGGAAAGGAGAAACAGGUCAAGGGAGGCGAUUUCAAACCGGCCACAGGCCAAGGGGGCUUUCCAACAUGAUCUAAGAGGGCACCUACGCGAGCCAGCCCGAGUGUGUCACGGACCCAUGAGAGGUAUGUCCCGCCUCACGACCCCAAUUCCUCUCUAAUUGGUUAGUACUCUUACCCACGUCUUCUUUACGUGGUUCCUGAGAGAGCGAUCCAGGUCCCGGGUCCAUCUCGAACCAGAAAACCAAGCCAUCAAGUCAACCCGACCCGGAGGGCGAGAGCGAGGCACCUAACCAGGACCUUCAUAAGUUGAGGAUCUUCUUUUUGCGCCACUCUGAUCUGUUGAAAGAGUUGGGGUUCUACCCUCAUACACGAAAUCAUUCUGACCCCAUCAUUAAGGGUAGAGUUGGGUGUCAUUUCACCGCAUCUUCAAGCAAUCGCAUCUCUCGAACCAUUAGGCAUGCUACUGAGACCACAGCUUUUCGGCUUAGGGCAUCGGCUACUACGUUAGUCUUGCCUGGAUGGUAAUCAAUUGUACAAACGUAAUCAUUCAAUAAGUCCAUCCAUCUUCUGUGCCUCAUAUUCAACUCCUUUUGGGAAAAUAGGUACUUGAGGCUCUUGUGAUCAAUGAACACUUUAAUUGAGCCCCAUAGAGGUAAUGUCUCCAGAUCUUCAAUGCAAACACUACGACCGCAAGCUCUAAGUCAAGAGUUGGAUAUUUUUUCUCAUACGGCUUCAACUGUCUGGAGGCAUAAGCAAUGACCUUACCUCUCUGCAUGAGUACAUAUCCAAGCUCUUUUUGGGAUGCAUCGGUAUAAACCACAAAGUCCUCAUUUCCUUCGGGCAAGGUCAGUAUUGGGGUUGUGGUUAGUCUCUUUUUAAGUUAUUGAAAGCCUCUCUCACAGUCCUCUAACCACACCAAUCUCACAUUCUUUUGGGUCAGCCGAGUAAGGGGAAGCUUUAUCCUUGAGAAUCCCUCUACAAAGCGCUGGUAGUAUCUGAGUAACCCUAGAAAACUACCAAUUUCGGUUACAUAUGUUGGUCUUUCCUAUUUAAGUAUAGCUUCAAUCUUAGAGGGGUCGACCGUAAACAAGUCCUUAGAAAUGAUGUGACCCAGGAAGGCUACGCUAGUGAGCCAAAAUUCACUCUUGCUUAAUUUAGCAUACAAUCUCUUCGACUUCAAAGUUUGCAAGACAAUUCUCAGAUGCUACUCAUGUAGCUUCCAACUUUUCGAAUACACUAAAAUAUCAUCAAUAAAGACUACAACAAAAUCAUGUCUGAAUACUCUAUUCAUCAAAUCCAUGAACACAGCAGGGGCAUUGGUUAACCCGAAUGGCAUCACAAGGAACUCAUAAUGGCCGUAUCGAGUUCUGAAAGCAGACUUUGGGAUGUCUUCCUCCUUGACCCGCAGUUCGUGAUAACUUGAUCGGAGGUCAAUCUUUGAAAACACCUGGGCCCCUUGGAGUUGGUCAAAAAGGUCAUCGAUUCUAGGCAGGGGAUACUUAUUCUUCACUGUUACUUGGUUCAACUGCCUAUAGUCAAUACACAACCUCAGACAUCCAUUCUUCUUCUUCACAAACAGGGCUGGUGCACCCCAGGGUGACACAUUAGGUCAGAUGAAUCCCUUAUCCAAUAAUUCUUGCAAUUGUUCUUUCAACUCCCUCAACUCUCCUGGAGCCAUUCUAUACGGAGCUUUAGAAAUGGAAGCAGUGUCGGAGACUACAUCUAUCUCAAAUUCAAUUUCCCUUACUGAAGGCAGGGAUGGAAACUCUUCUGGGAACACCUCGGGGUACUCUCUUACUAAUGGUGUCCCUUGAAGCUGGGACUGAACUUCCCGAUUCUCUACUACAUAGGCUAAAUACCCUUCACACUUCUUAGUCAGGAUGCGAGAGGUCCAGAGGGCAGAGAUAAGGUGCAAAGGGGAAGUAUCCCUAGUUCCCUCAAAGUGUAGAUCAGUUUGGUCAUGACGUCUAAAAGUUACCAUCAUUUCAUGGCAGUAGACGGUGGCAUGGUGUGUAUACAACCAAUCCAUGCCCAAAAUAACAUCAAGAUCCUGAAUACCUAGGAUGAUCAAGUACACAAGUAGGUCACACCCAUCAAUUGUAAUCCCACACUACUUAUACACUCUAUCAGUUUCCAUAGAAUCCCCCAUAUGUGUGCAUAGUACUAGAGUAAAAUCAAGACAUGCGAGCUCAACAUUUAGAUAGCAAGCAAAAUGGGGUGCAACAAAAGAGUGAGAGGAACCAGGGUCAAUCAAAAGCUUUAGCUUUAACGCCACAAAUAGAAAGUGUACCUCUGAUCACCGAGGUAGACGCCUUAGCUUCUUGCUUGGUGAGGGCAAAUACUCGUCCUUGCAUCUUUCAUGGGUCCUCUGUCUUCAUCAUAGGGAAAUCCUUAACCCAGUGGCGGGGCUUGCCGCACCUGAGGCACACGUUCCACUUCCUAUAGCAUUCGGCAGUAGUGUGGUUGUCCUUCCCGUAAUGAGAGUAGAUUGGGCAUCGAUCAUUCUCCAUGUUGUCCAGGAAAUUCUUCUGGACCCUCUGGUUACGCUGGUAAGGCCUUCUUCUAACAUCCCUCCUUGGAAAUUGUCGGGGCUUCUUCCCAAAGUUUCCUGAUGGAACGGUCUUCAUCCUUCCUUUCUUGAUCUGUGGUCCUCGCAGUCUCUUUCAAUCUUUAGGGCGAGGUCUAUCAAUGGGGCGUACGCCUUCUUCAGAUUGGCCGACAGUACUCUUCCUCUGAUAUCCGGUCAAAGGCCCCUAUCAAAUUUAGCCGCCUUUCGCGCCUCGGUGUUUAUAAUGUAGGGUGUGUACCUAGGCAAUUCCGCAAAUUUAGCAGCAGAUUGCUCAACUGUCAUACUUCCUUGAUAGAGUUCAAUAAAAUCCACUUCCUUCCUCUCCUUGACGGAGUCUGGGAAGUACUUCUUGUCAAACGCCAUCAGAAAGUUUUCCCAUGUGGUCUCGGUUCUUGACUCCCUCCAAGAUUGCUUACCCAAGGUCCACCAAUGUUCAGCUUCUCCUUCCAACAUGAAGGCUCCUAAUAUGACUUUCUGCUCAUCCGAGCAGUACAACACUUCUAAGAUCUUUUCUAUCUAUCUCUUCCAGCUUUCGGCCUUUUUUACUCCUCUUUGCCCGAAAAAGGUUGGGGGCACUAGUCGUCUAAAUCUUUCUAUUAGGCCAUUGUCAUUUUGCUCUGGGGUAGGGAUAGGCUUGGCUGGCAUCAACUUCUUCAUCAUUUGGGUCAUUGCCCUUAGAAUCCUAUAAAAUUCACCGAGCAUCUUGGUGUUCUCAUUGCUGGAACUCGUAUUGUUGGUACGAGCCCUCGACAUCUUCAACCUAGCACAGGAGAACUUAGCCACUAAUCUAUCUUAAAACUAUUCUAAGGGUUCUUCUAAAACUCACUAGGCCAAGAAUUCUAUCUUGACUGCUCUGAUACCAUAACUGUCACAACCCCGCCCCCCUUAUUCCGUACUCGACAGAGGUCACCGAGCGUGGGUUCAUGAUCCCAAGGUAGCAUAUACCACUCAGGUCGGAGUGAACUCAACGCUUUACUAUCGGUGAUCAAAGCAAACCAUGAAAAGAACUAAAGCAGUAAUUCUAAGUACAUAAAAAUAUUUAACAUUUGAAGAAUCCAUACAUCAAUAAAAGGGCACUACAUAAAAUUUUUCUAAAACUAUUACAUCUGAGUCUGGGGCAUUAGGGCCCAAUAUUACAUCCCCCAAAAUUUCAACAAAAAUUCGGACUACACUGCCCAGCUACAUACAAGAUCUGAGUUCCUUCUCAAGUGAAUGAGACUCCAACUCCUAACUGCAAAACAUGAGCUUCUGGUCCUCGACCUGGCACUAUCAAUAGGGGAGAUACAGAGGGAUGAGAUAUAAAGCCCAGUAAGUAGGUCUAAGUGCUAAGCAUCGUUAAUGAGUCUAUUCAUGCAUCAUAAGCAGUUCUUCCAAUAAUAAAAAGUCAUGAGGCAACAGUCAUGGAAAUCAGAGAUCAGAUAAAUGCAUCAAUUACAGGCAACAUAUUCAAAUGACAAUUAUCAUUAAAUCAUUACAAUCAUUAGCAUUCACAUUCACUUUUCAAAUAUUACCCACUCACUAACCUACUCUUAAAGUAGAAGCCCUAUCCAGUGGGCUAAGCUAAUCCCAUUUCUUAGGACCUCUACCAUCUCUCAGGAGGGAGGGCAAUGACAAGUGGGUGAAUACACUUCAUAAUGCCCUCAUACUCACACAUAUAAUCCCCAAUAUGCAUUGGGGUUUUCGAUAGGUACUUACCUUGCAAGGCAUCAGUCACUAGUCUCAUCUCAUGAAUUUUGGGGGGUACAACCCUCCCAUUUCACUUUACUCUAACUGCAUUCUAUCAUUCAGCAAGUUGGGGAACAUGGCCGGCAUCACUUUUCUCAAUAUAACGCUCCGCACUACUGAUGGGUGUCCCAUCGUGUAGCGGGCAAUAUCAGUAAAACAGUAUCCACUACCGAUAGGUGUCCAUCGCGUAGUGGCCAGUAUCACAGUAUCAGAACAAAACAGUACCCCACUACCAAUGGGUGCCCCAUUACGUAGUGGUCAUUAUCACAACGUCGUAACAUGCUCAAGCAUUAAGUUCAUUAUGCUAAAUUAGUGCCUUAUGAUAGAGAAUUCAAUUUUCAUCAUGCAAAGUUUGAGUCUUACUUAGAGCUAUCCAGCAGUCACAUAACACGAUGUUACUAGGCAUAACACAUCCAUUAUAUGAGAGCUAUCACAUGGUAUUUACGCUUAAUAAUCCACAUUAAUAUUACGGCACUUAUCAUGUAAUAUUUGUCAUAAAACUAUUACAUUAGUAUUGCACUUACCAAAUCGCACAGAAUGUAUAAUUGCAUAGCAUCAUUCACCUAAUAUUAUAGCAUUUAGAAUUCAUCACGUGAAAACUAUCACUUCACAAAGAUCACACUUCACCACUUGAGUUGCUCAGUGAGUGAUCCAAAAAAGGUAACAUGAUACAGACAUAGAACUAAAUUUUAGUGACGUGUAACAGUAAUGUAUCCUUUUUCUUGGAGGCGUAACUCCUAAUCUAGGGAGAAUUUCAAAAUAGUUCAAACAUGCAACUUCAAGAUUACACAUGGAUAUUUAAAAUGGCGGUGGUUUGAAGAUAUUUUGACGACGUUUGAUAGGCCAAAAGCUUUGCAGCAAGUGAGUGACAGUUGUUGGAAUUCCCUGCAACUGCCAACAAUGACAUACCCUCAUAUUUUGGGGCAUAUCUCUCAACCUAUGGGGAAUUUCAAAAUGCUUCAAACAUACAACUUUAAACUCAUUCAUGGAUCUUCCAAAGGGAGGUGGUUUGAAGAAGUUUAGGCAUCAUUUGAUUGGCCAAAGGCUCGACAUAAACGUGUAACAGUUGCUGGAAAUUACAGCAACUGUGAACAGCGAUAUACCCGAACAUUUUGGGACAUACCUCUUCAUCCAUACAAAAUUUUAACAUGGUGUAAAUAGAAAACUUAGAGUAGACACACAUAUCUUUCAUUUAAGACUUAUUUGAGCCCAUUUGGACUCUAUUUGACCAAAUAAGUUCGAUACAAAAGACCUCACAGUGCUUGAAAAUUUCCCCUUUUUCAAGUUUUAAAAUGAUUUCAAAUAAAACUCCUCACUUCACACAUCCAAGUAAAUUGCAGUGCAAAACCUCACUCAUGUCAAGUUUUUUUAUAAGUGAGCUACUUCAUUAGCUUCUACAACUAACAGUUUCAUUUAUGAUACUCAAUCAAUCAUUCAAUCUCAUUCUAAUUCCAUUACAUCCAUACUUUCCAUCAUAUCAUUCUACUCAUUUUGAUUUCUUAAAAUCUAUGGCUACCAAUUGCAAAUGAUGCAUGAACACCAAAUCCACUUACCUGAUGCUCACGAUGUCUUCAAACGUCCCACUCAUGGGCCUCUUCAAGCUCCAAGUAGGGGCUUCUUCAAGGGCAGCAGUCCACUCUCACUUUGCUUCUUAGCCAGAGAGAGAGAGUAUGAGACAAGUGAGGGAAAUAACGUUGAAAGGAUAAAGGGAGAGCCUUAAGUACCCACGGAUGGUAAGAUUCAUUGUGGCUAAUGGGUAGUGAAAGUCACUGUGGCUGACAGUGGGCGGCGUUGACUUGUACGAUACCAACAAGUGCGGUGCUAGCAGUAGUCACAUCUUCUCCUUGCACUCGCGGCAGUGAUACGCGCGGUGCUACCCAUUCUUCACCUUCACGCACAACGUUACCCCUCAAAUUCACAAGCGACGAUACGUCCAUUUCACGCGUGGCGUUACUCCUUACACGCGCGGCGUUACUCCUUACGCGCACGACGUUACUCUUUACGUGUGCGGCGAUACCUUCAUUUCACAUGUGGUGUUACUCCUUAUGCACAUGGUGAUACCUCCAUUUCACGCACAACGUUACUCCUUACGCGUGAGGUGAUGGUCUUUUACACACGGCGUUGCCUCUUGCAUGCGCGGUGGUGUGUAAACGGCGCUACUCAAGUUCACCCACCGUGUUGGUUCUCCUUCUCUUUCUUUCCACUGACGGCGCUAGGCCCCUUUUUACAUAGACGGCGCUAGCCCCCCACCCCCCGCCCCCCUCCUCCCUUCUACACAAGAUUCUCUUGUCGUGCGCAUCUCAUGGCUGAGAAAAUUUGUAGUCCUUACAUUAAAUCUCUCGAUUGUUCUUGAGAUUAUCUUUCUGGUUGCAGUAUUGCAGUGGGAAUGAAAGUAUUGAUCGAUAAUGUUGUUCGAUUGGGAGAGCAGGUUUAGAAGGGAAGAUCGGUGAAGCUUUUUUUUUUACCAAUGUUUAAAGAGAGGUAUAUCUCUUAUAACCCAAAAUUGUACUCUUCAUUGUGAUAGUGGAUUUCGACUUGCCGAGGCCGUGGAUGUAGCCUUAUGAGGUGAACCAAAUAAAUUGUAUGUUGUUGUGGUGUGAUUUUUAUGUUUGCUUUAUUUCUUGCACUCGAUUUAUAAUUGUAUUUGUCAACUUUAUAUUUAGCCAAUUGUGCACACGAUCUUAGGUGGGAUUUCGGUAAUUGGGAUUCUCGAUUCUACAAGAUAGGGGUUCUUGGGAAGGGAUCUCCAAGAUAGAGAUUGGGCUCAUUGUUGGGAUGUGAUGCAAAUAGCACCUCCUAUAGUAUUUCUCUUUUGUUAAAAGGGUGUUUUUUUCCUAGAAAAUGGGCCUUUUAUGGAGACCUAUAAAAGACAUUUUUAGACAAAGAGCAUAAGGAAAGAAGAGAAAAGAGAAAAAAAGUAUAGAGAAGCUUUGGAAGGUAGAGAUUGGGGGCUUCUUAUGUAAACCCUUACAUUUUUGUCACAGAAAAUGUUAGUCGAUGGAGACCCAGCAAGGAUUUGAUUGAUGGUGGUUUUAUGGUAGGAAAUUUCUAUUGAGCUUUCUUUCCAUGCAUGAGGUAAUCUCUACAAACCCUAAUCUGGUAAAUUUCUUCCUUAAUAGUGAAUGCAUCCUUGCCCUCUUGUCGGUGGACGUAGACCAUUUUGGGUGAACCACGUUAAUCCAUGUGUCUUCAAUUUUGUACUUGUGUUGUGGUUAUCGUGAUUUCUCAUAUUACUUGUUUCUUGAUUCUAUAAUUUUCUCGAAUAUAUUGUAAGUACAUUAUUGUUCUUGGGAGAUUUUAUUGAGGUUGUUGGAUUCAUUGUUGUGGGGUGGGUGCUCACCACAUCAACACGAAUUUGUGUUAACCCAAUUUGUCAACAAGGGGCAAUCGAGAUAUCUUUGGUUGCCAACAUAAAAAAUCAUUCAACUGUUCAUGACUCUAUACAAAAUCAAAACAUCCCAAAUAAAUGGGGUCAAAAGCAUCAAAUCUCUCCUCUAUGAAGUUCAGGUAAUGCUCAGAAUGGCUAGUGAACUGCUUCUUUCAGACCUCUAAGGCUUGAGCCUGAAUGCAGUUACCUGCAAUAUGUUCCACAAGAGUGGUACAACCACUAGAAGGUUACCCCAGAGGAAGAGCUCUAACUUUCAUCCAUUCCCUUGAUAGAUGGAGAAAUAGAAGCCUAUAUAGCUCAAGAGGACUCGCAAGGGUCUCACUGAGCCCAAUCCCAUUGUGUAAACACUAAGAAACAUCUAUCUGAAUUCACUUUUCCGCUGAUGGACAUUUUUUUUUUUUGUGAGUCAGUGGGGAGAGGUCUAACCUUUGUAAGAAUUGAGCCUAGGACGUAGCGUUGCAAAUCAUCAAGCAAUAACCAAUUAAAAAACAAUGGGACUUCCUCUUUGUGAACUAUACACUUAGAUAAAGGCAUUUAGUAAUAGAAUGCUCCAAGGAAAGUGCUUCCCUAGGGAUAGGGGAUUCAUUUUCACAAGGGCAUGACGAUGAAUAUCCUUUUUUUUUUACAAAUAUUCUUUUCUUUAUUUAUAAAAUUUACUCAAAAGAAAUUACAUCAGAGGAGAGAGUUAGAGAAGACAAAGAGGCCCCCCUUUCAGCCUGAAAGUUAGCCAAAGAAUUUGCCUCGCGAAAGACAUGGCAAAAAGAAAUUGAAAGUGGAGCCACCAGAUCCAUAAUCUGCAACCAGUUAGACCUUAGUUCCCAUGGAAUACGCUGCUCCUUCUUACACUAAUUAAUUGCGUUCAUUGAAUCUCCUUCAAUAAUGCAGUUAUUCCCGAUGUUUUUAGAGAUAAAAUUUUUAACCCUUUGCAACAAAGCCAAUAAUUCAGAUCGAUUAGCCAUAGUUAUACCAAUAGGGUCAAUAUAUGAGAAGAUGACCUCUCCAAAACAGUCUCGCACUAUACCUCCAAUUCCUGCUAAACUUGGAUUGCCCAAAGAGCUCCCAUCAAAAUUUAACUUAAAUCCCCCACUCUCUGGUGCCACCCAAAUACUCUUUGGUCUUAUCUUUACUCUACCCAUCAAAAAACAAAUUUGACAAAUUCAACAGAACAUCUGGUUGUGAAAUCCCCCAACCCUCCUUAGUAAUUGAGAGCCAAGACCAAAUAGAUAGUUUGACUUUACUCAGCAGUCUAUCAAAAGAUAAACUCUCUCCUUCAAAAGUCCGUCUAUUUCUUUCUUUCCAUAGUUCCCAUUGAGUAGCCUCUCUUGCUAUCUGCCACACGAAGAUACCUCCGGAAGGUAAAUGAUUAAAGGCUAACUGUGACACUAAACCCAUCACAGAUUGGGGCAGUGAAGCAUGAACCCCAAGUAACCCAAAUAACCAAUACCAAAUUCUUGAGGCAAUAUGGCAAUGGAUGAGAAGAUGCUCUCUAGAUUCCUCAUCCGCUUUACACAUCAAACAUAUGUUAGGUAAAAUUUUACCCCUCUUAAUCAAAUUUUCCACCGUCAGAAUCUUAUUUUGGAUAGCUAACCACAAAAACACCAGCACCUUAUGGGGAAUAGGCCAUUUCCACACUUUGGCUGUGGCAGGUAAAGACCAUCUCCAUCUAAUGUAAAAAAAAGCAUAUAACAAGACUUGACCGAAAUACCCCAUCGCAUUCAACUUCCCAAAUCACUUCAUCUAUUGCCCCUUGAGAAAUAUAAACCGAAUCCAAGAUACCCAUCAAAUCGUUCCAUUGAAGAUAAAUAUUUUCACUUAGCUUAUUAUAUGGGAAAUUAAUACUCCAAGCAGCACGAUUACCUCUCACUUCAACCAUAUCAGAAACCUUAGCAUUAGGUUGUGAAACUUUAGCAAAAAGUUCCGGAUAAGUAAGCUUCAAAGGGGCAUCACCUAUCCACUUAUGAUACAAAAAAGAGAUGUUGUCACCACAACCAACAUUCCAAUGAAAAUAACUAGCAAGCAUUGGCCUACAUCUGUAAAUAGCCGUCCACAGAGAAGACAUCUCUCUAUUUCUACUCCAUCCUAACCACAUUCCCUGCCUAUCCAAACCAUAUUUCGAAGAAAAAACCUGAAACCAAAGCUGAUCUGUAUAUUGAAAACUUCUCCACUACCACUUACAAAGAAACCACCUUCACUCUUAGGGACAUAAACACGAUCCCACCUAAGUAAGUGAUACUUCCCAAAAGACCCCUAUAGAAAAUUAGGCAUCAUUCUUUCAAUUUUCUUUAUCACUAUAUAGGAUGCAGAAACAUAUACACUCACAGCUAAAAGUGAUGCUAAUAUAGUGGCAAUGCGGGCAAAAAUAAAUUCCUAGGCUAUCAAGCUCACAACAUCCGCCAUCCAAUUAAAUGUCCUAACUCCUAAACCAUAAGUUGGCUAGCAUGAAGCCUCCACCACUUUUAGUGCAGGUUGUGCAUGACACAAAUCAUACUAGUUGUACACCUGAUGAGAUGUAAGCCAUGAUAAUGAAAAGACUCACGAAUCUUCAUAUACUUAGGCAUGAUCUCCUGAGAUUUAGCAUAAUUCCUAUCUGGCUUAGAUCGAUGAGGUAUCUUAGCCAUAAGGAUAUCAACCUCAUGCUUUUGAAAAAUCCAAUAAACAUAUUCCCCAUAAAGAGCAUAUCACAGUUUUUGUUACUGUUUGUACUAAUACCGCUUUUGAUGAGAAAAUUUGUUAGGUCCCUUAUUGUGGCUUUCUUGGUAUGCAAGGCUUCAAUUGAACUCAAUGGCUUCUUGGGAACAAAUGGAAGAAACUUUUGUACUCGAUGGAGACAAUUAUGCGCACUCCAAAUCUGCCUAAGCAAGAUGAAUGCGAAGAAUACCUUGAACUUAGCCAUCGAAAAUCGUACUACUUUCCGAUAGUUGCUAGAAUGAACAAUCGUGAUUGAAGGUAUAUUGAAUAGAAAAAUCUUACUAGCAAGUCUCAUGUUAUAAAUCUAGACAACAGUAAAGCAUAGGGCUACAAAGCCACCCCAUAAAAAUUAACUAUGGUGACAACUGACAUUUGAGGGUUCAACAAGAGCAGGUCUAAUGGUUCCACAAAGCCUCAGCCUAAAAGCCAACCGAAGAUUUUGGACGUUACAAAGAGCCAUAGCAUGAUAAAAAGGAAAGAACAAGUGCAUAAGGUACAACUUACAAAAUGCCCCACCUCCACAAGAGGCAUGGAAAUAGGCCAAUUUUGAAGGAACGAUUCUUAGAAAAACACCCUUUUGAAGAUAGAUAUUUUGGCCAGGUUUUCAAACUUAUAGAAUACAUACUUCUUCAACUCCCUAGAUAUUAGGAGCUCCCGGAAGGAACAAAGGUGGAUAAAAGAAGAUACUGCCAAGAUCAAUGCUCAUAGGUCUCACAAUUUUCCCUCUCUUCUUGUUGUGCUAGUGAAGAUUUACCAUGGGUUGUGUUCUUCAGGCAAGUUGGUUUCAAUCAACUCGUCGACUAUGGCAUGUACACCCAACCUCAAGAUUUCAAGGUGACAAUAUAAUAUCCAUGACCUCAGUAGGAGGAUCAUAGUAGUCCUCUUCAUCCUUGAGAUAAUUGGUGCUUACCAUGUAGCCAUUUGCUUUAUGUUGUUGGCGAGUCCACGACAGUGUUAUCCCUUGCUACUAGAUUCCUUUAACUAGAUGGAUAUUCUUUUUAGUUACGAAAAUGACUUAGGUUUCAUCCAAAGUGGUAUUUUCUACUUUAGAUCCCGCUUUGGUCGAAGAAUUCUAGGUGAAAGGCUUUUUAUCUGAGAACAAAGCUCUUUUUCUCUCAUCGUACACAUACGUAAAACAUUAUUGGAGCGUGGAAAGUAUUAUUACAAUAUCAUGGAGCCAAAUCCUUCCUAAUAAUAUGUUGUAAGAAGUGUUGGCAUCUAUGGUGUAAAAAGGAGCAGUUUGUUUUUAGAUCAUCAACUACAAAUCUAAGGUGAAUUGUGCCUGAGGCCUCUUUGUGAUCUCGUUGAAUCUUACAUCACUAAGUUGAAUGGCUUAAGAUCAUGAGAUAUCAAUCAUAGUAGUUGCAAAAUUUGCAAAUGAAGAAGGUUGACUGUAGAGCCACAGUCCAAUAUUUCCUUGGUAGUUUGUAAGCUGUUGAGACUACCAGUGAUGUAUGGGGCAAUUAUGGAACUGGAUUAUUAACUGCAAGCCUACUAGUGAAAAUGAUGAGUAUACAAGAGGGGGAGCGGUCUUUCUAUCUUUAUUUGGUCCUGAUAUAUCUAAGGGUCUUUCAGAGCUUUGAUUAAUGCAUAGCUCAUUUUUCGUUAUAGCAUAAGAGCAUCAUAAACAUUGAGGCGGGUUGGAAUCUUUUUGAGAUCAGUAACUAUGGCGUUUUUUGACAAUGCAAUGGUCAACAAUUGAUGGAAGCUUCUAGUUGUUCCAUGUCGUGAUUAGACCAUUCCGAGAACCCCCAUCUUCUAGCUACAUAAAUUGGGUAAGCAUAGCAUCACACUGAUCUUUAUUCUGUUUGAGAUCCACAGUCUUCCUUUACGAUCUCAAGUGGAUAGGGUUCGCACUAACUAUUUUUAAAGCUUGAGUGUAUGAAUCAUAUUACAUUCCACUUGUGGAUCAUGAACCAAUGUAGUGAUUGGUGACCUCAGGAUUUUGGGGCUAGUGUUUCCAUAAGUGGAUGACAACGGCCUUGGUGAGCCCAAGUAUUGUCCAAAUUCCUUUAACCCCCUAUUUUUUCUGGUGUGGGGUGGUUUUAGUUGCCUACAAUGUGCAACCAUUGUAAGGACAAUAAGAAUGCCCACAAAGAGGGUAUGUGGUUGGGAUGGCUUACGGCUCCAGCUGAACUCUUCUCUCCUCGGCCUCAUUCAUGAAGGUGGUCUGCCCAUUCUAAUAAGGUAGUUUAGGCUCUGUCCAUAGAUUGGACCCCAUGGGGACCUUCUAUCACCAAGGUCGUUGAAUCCUUGCGCCUAGCUUCCUUAAGAUGAGGAUUGAGGCCAACAGGCCAGAACUCUUAGAGGGGAUGAGGAACACUGAAACUCACAUUAGUGGUCCUGGCAAGCGGGAUUCUUUCUAGGCUAACAAGGUAAAUCCCCAGCUAGUCUCUGUUCUAUGGGGAGGAAAAUGUCCCAUUGAUAGAGAGUAGUUUGGUAUAUGUGACCUUACAGUUUGCCCCCACCAUAAUAGCAAUCGCGGGUUUUAUAACUAUAUAAUUGUCACCAAGGAACUUGUCUUCGAGGCCCUUGAAUCAUAAUAAUUAGUGGCAUAAUUAUUAUGUGCAUGUCAUCAUUGUCUUGCUCAUGUGUGUGUGUGCGUGUGUGUAUGUGUGUGUAUAUAUAUAUAUAUAUAUAUAUAUAUAUAUAUAUAUAUAUAUAUAUAUCGUCUCGUCUACUACUAUACUAACGUACGUAGUAGUAAGACGUACUCUUCUCUACCUACGUACGUACUACUAACGUUAGUUANNNNNNNNNNNNNNNNNNNNNNNCUAAUAUAGACCCUAGUAUAAGGGAGCCAUUUCUCCUCUCCUAAAGGGCUCCAAAUCCUUGGUUAUAUUUCGCUUUGUCUUAAACGCUUCUUACUUUGUUCGCUUCUUGUUGUUUCUUUGGCCCUGUUUGUAGUUUCUUGCUCAGCUGCCUUACUUCUAAGGCAACAUUUUGAUACUAUGAAGUGGUUGUAGACUGUGCCAGGAGUCGUGAGAUAGUGGUAGUUAUCUAACGAACCUAUAAGCUAGUUGUUUGUUAUUAAUAAUGAAAUCCUUUUGUCCUCCUCUGGAAUGACUAAAGGGAAAGGACACAGGCCUCAGAAAGCAAAUAUUUCAGCAUAGUCAUUUCAAUACUUGAUCCAAAGGUGUCUCAGAAUGUAUUGAUCAUGUCCUCAUUGGUAAGGUUACUGUGCAUCUUUUCAUUAUGUUUUCCCUUAUGGGAGUUGUUUUGAUUAAAGAUAUCUUCUGAAGGAUGUGACACAUUUUCAACUAUAUCGUUUAUGACUUCAUUGAUAAAUAUUUGUGGAUACCAACUUAUAAGUGUCUUCACAAGAUCCCACUAUGAUAUGAGCUUUAGGUAUAUGUCAGUUUAGGAUCCUCAAAAUGCUUCAUCUAGAGGGACGAUGUCAUGUGCACCCAAGAGAAUAUAGCGACAUGCAGAAGGCCAAUGGAAGUUGUAAUAGGAUAUAAUAUGCUAAUAUCUACUUUUACUAGUCACAAAUGAUUGAAAAUCUUUCCAAAUCCCAUCAUAAGAUACAAUUGAGAAAAUAGAUAUAAGAGAAUGACAAAUGGAGCAGAAUCAUAGAAGAGAUUUCUAGGACUUUGAUCACCCAUUUGAAUUCUCUUAUGUCAUUUAGAUUGCAAUACUCAUCGAGAUAGCAAGGAUGGUUACAAUUACCCACAUACAGCGUUGGCCAUUGAGGAAGGAUGAGUCAUAAAAUGUGCUCAUAUACCCGAAUUUGCAAGAUCAACAUGCAAUUGGCAUGGUCCCAUGCUUCUGAAUAUUACUGGCCAAUCUAGUCUAGAGAUGCCCAUAAAUUCCUGGUAGAACCACAGGACUUGACAACCAGUCUUAAGGGGCAAGGUUUGGGUCUCUGGUUAAGUUCGUCAAGACGCCUAACUGAUGACCCUAUCUUGGUAGGUGAUUUGCUGCUUAACUUGGUUGGGCCAACCCUCGACGUAGGUUCAAGUUCAUUCAUACCCUUAUCUACCAGCCUUGAGAGCUUCACUGUUAGGGAUGCCCCAUCUUUGCGCAACAUCCUCAUUGUUGGUCAAUAAGAAAACUCAAGCCACUUGGACUCAAACUGAGAUCCAACUGGUGGCCUUCGCAGUUGCUCUCACAUUCAGCUGGCUACAUCCUUUUUUAUAGAUGACUUCAUCACUGAAACAUUCGUCAGUCUCUCAAAAAAAUUUCAUUCAUGGUGGACUGUAAUAAAAUGUUUGUCUUCACUCAUCUCUUAAGCCUGCAAUGGUAGCGCUCCAGAAUAAUAAGCAUAAAUAUGGUCAUACUUAUCCAAAAACCAAGUGGUUGAAUCCUUUCUCUCACGUAGUUGUUGCAAGAAUAUGGUUAAAUCUCCUUCAAACUGCUAAAAUAGAUAUAUUUUGACUAUAUUUGAAUCACUUUUGAAAUUAAAUUAAAAAAAAAAAUAUGUUUUUUUCCAGGUCUAAGCAUGAGAAAAUCUACAGAAUUGGUUAUUCCAAUGUAGGUUAAAGGUGUUAGCAUGUUUAGACAUGUCUUGCUUCAAUGGCUGCCUCUCUCUAUUGAGAAGUCCUUUAGCCAUGAAAUUUGGCAUCCAGAUAGGGGAUUCAAAGAGGAAUCCAAUGGUCUAAAUUUUAUCUCACUUGGGUCAUUAUUGAGAGAGAUAUAACUCGUCAAAGUUGAUGGUUUUUUGCUACAGAUCUGAGCAGCCAAUCAGUCAAUCGCAAGUCGAAUAGCUUUCACAACAGAAUUGACCGUAGAGCUUGGAUAUGAUGUAUGGGAGGUCAUGAGGAAUAUCUUCACCAAAUUUGGUGACAACACUCCGUAUUUUGAGAGAAAUGAGGGUUCGUCGGUCAAGAUUUGAGAUAGUUUGAGGCUUACUGUUAUGACCUCAAUGACUUUCACAUGGGGAAUCCUUAAGAGUGUUGCUCUGUUGUAGUUUAUAAGACUCUACUCUAAGUUAGGAAUGCAAUUAUUUUAAUCUUAUGAGAAACUCCUUAUAGAUUGGAAAACAUCUAAAUUUUAAUGAUCGGAGGUCAUCCUGGCUAUUGCAAGUGUGCCUGACACACGAUAAAUGUGAGUCUUAACUGUCGG